RNAcentral lists this long non-coding RNA (269 nucleotides) under Prunus persica (peach). Its description in RNAcentral is "long non-coding RNA (PPER_LNC003869)". Lineage: Eukaryota; Viridiplantae; Streptophyta; Magnoliopsida; Rosales; Rosaceae. The record is from RNAcentral.
AGAUUAUCUCUUACUUGUUGUAAGAAAAAUGUAAGAUGGUGAUUUUGCAAUCUCUUUGCCAACGAGAACAACAAUAUCAAACAAAGGUUUAUGGGUAUAGUAGUAAGAGAAGUGGUAGUAUUCUUCAUGUAAAAUGUUGUUUGAAAAGUGAAGCCAUUACCAAGACCAAUCCAACUUAGCGUGCAAUUCUCUACGACAAAUAAUUAGUGCAGUAACAUAAUUUAGUAUCACUCAAGAGAACGAGGUAAUAAAUCAAAGGCAAAUAUUCC